This is a non-coding RNA of Phascolarctos cinereus (koala), 211 nucleotides long. The record is from RefSeq and is a predicted model, not a curated record. Lineage: Eukaryota; Metazoa; Chordata; Mammalia; Diprotodontia; Phascolarctidae.
UAUGCACUGAGCUAUUUCCUAGAGGUUUUGGUCUAGUGGAAAGAACUCUAGCCUAGAAGCUCAUGGAGGAAACUCAAGAAAACAAGAAGUGAAUUACCCAGGGUUGCACAGCAAGAUGGGUGAGAAUGAAGAGUUGAGAAUGAUACCAAGAUUACAAACUUAAGUGACUGGAAGGAUGAUGGUACCCUCUACAUUAAAAGAGAAGUUCAAA